RNAcentral lists this ribosomal RNA (75 nucleotides) under Neofusicoccum mediterraneum. RNAcentral describes it as "partial 28S ribosomal RNA". The record is from RNAcentral. Lineage: Eukaryota; Fungi; Ascomycota; Dothideomycetes; Botryosphaeriales; Botryosphaeriaceae.
GUCGCCCGCCGGACGAACCUUUGAAUUUUUCUCAAGGUUGACCUCGGAUCAGGUAGGGAUACCCGCUGAACUUAA